Peromyscus maniculatus bairdii (prairie deer mouse) is the source of this 555-nucleotide non-coding RNA. Lineage: Eukaryota; Metazoa; Chordata; Mammalia; Rodentia; Cricetidae. The record is from RefSeq and is a predicted model, not a curated record.
GGUUUGGUCGGGACCGAGUGACUCAUGACUGAGCGUUCGGUACAGUGACUAGACCCUGUAACGAUCGUCCAAUCACAACAGUACACCAGCCAGUGAGGCAGGGGUGUUCUCCCUGGCCCUCCUUCUUGUCCCUGCGUCCCUGCCCCCAUCCUUCCUCUUCCCAGAAUGGUCCUUCAUCUACAGCAGCGGCAUGCCCAGGGCACCACAUCCUCCCACAAUGCGUCUGGACUGGAUCCUGCUUCCCAGGCCCCACCGUUCUUCCCCUUGACCGAGGAGAGACACUUCCGUGUUUUCAAUACCACGUUUUCUUGACUGACUCCGUCCUCCAAAGAAACUUACUGGUUGCCAGAAUACGGACUCUGCAUGACCACUCAGAUGAACCACGCCCCAGCACCGUGUCUCAAAGGGUGAUCUACCCAGUAUCUUCUGGAAGUACUUGUUGAAAAUGGACAGAAUCCCAACACGUGAAACUGGAUUCUCCAAUUAUGAAAAAUUAUUUCAUGAUCCUUAACCUUGUAAAGUUUAACAGACCACAUAAUACAUAAUUAGAAUUUA